UGCUCGCGUUUUAAAAAUCUGUGCUGAUGCUCAUUUCUCCCCUGUUUGUGUUUCUGCAGCAAAUUGCCUCAUCUGUUAAACGGGAAGGUGAUGCAUCUGGAGGGAUGAAACAUUUAUCGGAGGACGAUUUUUCAUUACGGCGAGGGGAGAGCUUCCAUCAAUAUUUCAAUGGCCCUGCCUGCCCACAGUGUGUGUGUGUGUGUGUGUGUGUGUGUGUGUGUGUGUGUGUGUGUGUGUGUGUGUGUGUGUGUCGGCAACUAUUAUAAUGACAAAAUGUCCCCACUAGGAUGGACAGAAUGCUUCAAAGCAAGGACACUGGGAUGUGUCUCACUUCUCCACGAGCACCCAGGGAUCCUGUGUGUUGAGCUGACCGAUCUGUCGGCGCCACGGGGCCAGUGUGACUUCACAGCGAGCCAGAAACGCAGGCGAGCUGAUGGAGAGCUGAACUCGCGUCACCCGCCUGCUUAUUAGAGGCGCAAGAAGGUGAAACCAGCUCUGGUUUGGGCUUCUUCUUCUUUAUAUUGUUGGUAAAUGUUACCCACUUACAUUUUUACAGUGUUUAGCGGCACAAACAAUCAGUAAUAUUUGAUUAAAGAAAAGCCACGUUCCCACAGCCUGCAAGAAGUUUCUGUUUACUUUUGUAAGUGUUUGCUAGAAACUAAAUUGAACCACACAGAGACUGCAAAUAAGAGGUAUUAACUGAAUGUAAAUACAUUCUAUUCAUAUUGCAUCAGGACGGAGCCAAUAUUAAUAUAAUCCAGGCCGAUUAUUUGUCUUUUGUUGGACUGUAAACACACUGGGCCGAGUUUGUAAAAAUCCCCGGACUGCGUGUUAUUAAAUGCAGAAUGUAAACUCACAACGUUCCCAGAGACAAACAGCAAGGACGUGAAUUUAUUUUGCUGGUGGCUGCGGCGCUGCUCAGACACAGAGAGCUGGAAAUUUCAUGCGCAACACUGAUACAAGAAGUAGCUGAUAGAAUGUGCUCUUUAAACGUGUGGGUGAGCUGCAGAGGUGGCAGCAACACACAAUACGCAAGUAAAAGUGCGAGUCCUUGUCUCGAGCACCACUUCAGAGUCUUUACUCGGGUUGAGUGAGUACACGCUCUGAAAUGUACUCAAGGUACAAAAGUACAAGUGCUUCAAUAAGAAAAUCAUAGAUUUUAAACACACCUGCAUCCGAUAACGAUGAAUCCCAGUUCAGCUUCGCCUCCAAUCGCAUUCAACGUGUUUAUUCCAUUAUUUAAUCACUCAUUUAUUUACAUCCUGUUCCCUGAAUUGGUUUUAACACAAAUGGGGAAAAAUACAUUAAACACCAACAAAUGCUGUAACUUGAAAUGUAUAUUUUAAUACUUAUAUUGAAAUGAAAAAGAGCAGGGGAACGUCAUUAAAUUAUUCUCUUCAUUAAAUCUCCAGGGGACGUGACAUCUUAUGGAAAGAUAUUGUGAUGUUUUCUUUAUGGAAUCGCCUGCAGCUCAGAAGCAGGAAGACAUUUUAUACGGUUUACGUCUACAUCACCUCCUCCAUCUUCUGCUCAGGCAGAAACCCAGCGCGUCUGAGGCUGCUCGAACGGUGCGACCCCUCGGUGCGGUACCUUUGGCUGAUGCCGCCCGGACCCGGGUACGGGUCCGCUAUUCGCUGCCAGCCGCCCAUAAAACAUCAGGGCUCCUCUCAGGCUUUUAAAAAAAAACUACAAAGCAAAGAGGCCUUUUUAAGUCUAGCGCUGGGACGCCGUCGCGAGCACGACGCCGGGCUCCUCGUCGACAUCAAACGGCUGGCGGAGGACUCGCCAAGCAGCUGGUGCAGAUGGCCGGACUCAGGCAGGACAUUCUAAUGAGAAGGAGGCAGGGCAUUAGUAGUCUGGGAAGGGUGGCAGCGCCCAGGAGGCCGCAGGAGCACACGCAUGCGUCCAUGCAGCUCCGAGGAGGAGGCUUUAAGCGCUGGGAGCUGGAGGAUUCUCCCAGUCUGCGGGGGAAAGUGGGGGUUAAUGGGUUCGUCGGCUCCAGCCGACAGCAGGCGGACACUGCCACCUAGUGGAGUGACUGGGUAACAGCCUGACCUGCAGCGGCAGACGGAGGGACGCGUCACGAGGUGGCGAAAGGUAAGGAACAGGAAGUGGAAAAAGAAGUGUAAAUCUACCCAGAAACACGGAGAAGAUGUGGGAAUCAUUAACCCAUAACAACAAUUAUUUUAAAAACAGCUCUGUGAUAAAAAAAAAAUAAUAAUAAUAAUAAAACAAAAAAAAAUUGUUUUUGCCUAAACUGAAAUGGAUUGAAAUGUUAUGCUUCUGUAAAAUGUGAUGACAGAUCACUUAUUUCCCUGAAUGUAAUUUUUAACCCUAACUUUUUAUAGUGUAUAGUGUAUUUUAUAGUGUUAUUUCAAAAUGACGUGGAUGAAGCGUGUGUACGAACCGAGCAGUGGAGCCGUUCACCACCAGUCGCCAGCAGAGGGCAGUGUUCAGCAGCGUUGGUCCCGUACGCCUCGCCGGCCCACGGCUCUGCGUUGUGCAGAAAACAACGAGUGAUCUAGUUUGUGGUCAUAAAAGCAAAAGAGUCCAAAAGGCAACGCCAGAACUAAACUGAUCAUUAGGAGAUCACUACUAGAGCACGUUUUCCAUGAUGACUACAAUUAAAGUGUAUCUAUUUCAAUAAUUUAUCGCCAUUAGUUGUUGAAUUAUGUUUAUGACAUUUAGUUGAAAUAUGCAAAUUAAUGUUAUCCAUACCAGUGUGGAUGCUAUAUACAGUAGUACUUAAAUAAACUUUUGGUCAGCUCUACUUGAAGGCAACACAAAGAAAAGAUGUAUAUUAUUAACACUUAGGUGUAAAUGUUUUUCAUCUCCUAAACUAUAGCAGAAAUCACAUGAUCACAUUCCUCGCUUCAGUUUGGAAAUGGUCUAAACUCUUUUAUUGUUGAGUCUUUCAGAGUUUGGUCCGAUCGAAGCGCGUUUCAGCUUCAGCCCUUCGGUGCAGUCCGUCCUCUCACUGCUGGAGGCUGAGCAUGUGUUCAGUGUGACUCAGCCAUCGGAAACGUUUCCUUUUCUGUCUGUUCACAAUUAUGGCUCUUUGUUCUGCCUUCACGAGGACUGGAUUUAUUAGAUCGACGACACCACCAAAACCAAAUCCUGCCACAGCAAUUUGAUCGAUGUCAAUACCUCCGUAUUUCAUGGCCGCUUAUUCUCCCAGCGACUAUAGUUAGCCAUCAGUUACAUUGUGUGAAUCUGUUCUGCACCGGACUGGACCUCAUGAGUUUAAUGAGACUGUGCAAAUAAAAUCGUGGAAAUGUUUAUGAAAACAAUCAGGAGCCAACACAUGUUUAUGAGAUAGAUUUCUAUUUAUUAGAAACCGACAGCACAGUUUAUUUUCAGCAAAGUGUGAACUAACACCUACUAAAUAAUUCAUAUUAAGAGAAUUGAUUCAAAUGAUUGGUGAUUUAUCUUUAUCAAGUCAGGCUUAUUGAACAUGUUUGUGUUAAUUGUUCAUUUGUCAGUGAAAACACGACUUUUCUUCCCAUAAAACCUGGUAAUUAUCCACACAGAUAAAGCACGGGCCUUUUCCUCUGUAAACUCAGAUCAUAUGGGUCCGCUACGGGUUUGGAAUCAGUCACAGCCUGUCCAACAUAAGUCAAGCAGACAGGGAUGAUGGGCUUUAGGAAACCAUUCAUUGCUGCAAACAUACACUCUUCAGGCCCCAUUGAAACGCUGACCUGCUCCAGUGAUCUGAGGGCGCGGUGUCGGCUGCCGUUCUCCUCCAGCGCUCCCACGUUCGCCCUUUGUUGCUUUUGUGUCAUGCGAAGCAACUUGUCACCCCAAAAACAAAAGAGAUUAUCUUCAUCGAACGCGCUAAAAGGAAACCGGUGGAAUGAACAGACAAUAACAUUCAGUGAUAAUGAUGGUAUUUGUGGACGUGAGGAUGUUAAUCGGACUAAUGGAAUGCUGAUGAAAACUAGGACUUCUUCUACCGCUGUUACACACACAUGCACUGUAUUGUUAAGAUCAUUUCUAUUCUUCCUUCGCGUGAUCAUCUAAACUUGCUUCACUUAGGUUUUGAGCUCCAUAUUAGCAGCACACACUCCGUCUGUGCAUGCAUUUCUCUCACACUGUAAGUUUUGUGCGCAAACUCGACAAGUGUUUGCUUUUUCCUGAAUUUCUAGGUUUGUCUCUGCAGUGCAUACAAGAGACGGUUUGUUCCCAAGCAGUGUGUGUGUGUGUUUGUGUGUGUGUGUGUGUAU
Betta splendens (Siamese fighting fish) is the source of this 4223-nucleotide long non-coding RNA. RefSeq lists it as uncharacterized. Lineage: Eukaryota; Metazoa; Chordata; Actinopteri; Anabantiformes; Osphronemidae. The record is from RefSeq and is a predicted model, not a curated record. The transcript is spliced from 3 exons.